UAUCCGUAGGUGAACCUGCGGAGGGAUCAUUACAGAGUUCAUGCCCUACCGGGUAGAUCUCCCACCCUAUGUUAUUAUUACUUUGUUGCUUUGGCGGGCCGUUAGGCUCCGGCCCGACUACCGGCCCCGGCUGGUAAGCGCCCGCCAGAGGACCCAAAACCCUGAAUAUUAGUGUCGUCUGAGUACUAUAUAAUAGUUAAAACUUUCAACAACGGAUCUCUUGGUUCUG
This 229-nucleotide unclassified non-coding RNA is filed under the name plant metagenome. Its description in RNAcentral is "partial contains small subunit ribosomal RNA, internal transcribed spacer 1, and 5.8S ribosomal RNA". The record is from RNAcentral.